RNAcentral lists this transfer RNA (87 nucleotides) under Firmicutes bacterium CAG:313. RNAcentral describes it as "transfer RNA-Leu(GAG)". It matches the Rfam family "tRNA". From Rfam's summary of the family: Transfer RNA (tRNA) molecules are approximately 80 nucleotides in length. Their secondary structure includes four short double-helical elements and three loops (D, anti-codon, and T loops). Lineage: Bacteria; Bacillati; Bacillota. RNAcentral also lists the same sequence under 2 other names. The record is from RNAcentral.
GCAAUCGUGGCGGAAUAGGUAGACGCGCUACUUUGAGGGGGUAGUGUUUGUAUAAACGUGUGAGUUCGAGUCUCAUCGAUUGCACCA